Molecule: ribosomal RNA, 481 nt
Filed under: uncultured bacterium
Lineage: Bacteria
Description: partial 16S ribosomal RNA
Rfam family: Bacterial small subunit ribosomal RNA
Source: RNAcentral
GAUGAACGCUGGCGGCGUGCUUAACACAUGCAAGUCGAACGAAGCACUUUAUUUGAUUUCCUUCGGGACUGAUUAUUUUGUGACUGAGUGGCGGACGGGUGAGUAACGCGUGGGUAACCUGCCUUGUACAGGGGGAUAACAGUUGGAAACGGCUGCUAAUACCGCAUAAGCGCACAGCAUCGCAUGAUGCAGUGUGAAAAACUCCGGUGGUAUAAGAUGGACCCGCGUUGGAUUAGCUAGUUGGUGAGGUAACGGCCCACCAAGGCGACGAUCCAUAGCCGACCUGGGAGGGUGACCGGCCACAUUGGGACUGAGACACGGCCCAAACUCCUACGGGAGGCAGCAGUGGGGAGUAUUGCACAAUGGGCGAAAGCCUGAUGCAGCGACGCCGCGUGAGCGAAGAAGUAUUUCGGUAUGUAAAGCUCUAUCAGAAGGGAAGAUAAUGACGGUACCUGACUAAGAAGCACCGGCUAAAUACGUG